This 254-nucleotide long non-coding RNA is filed under the name Phoenix dactylifera (date palm). RNAcentral describes it as "long non-coding RNA (PDAC_LNC020370)". The record is from RNAcentral. Lineage: Eukaryota; Viridiplantae; Streptophyta; Magnoliopsida; Arecales; Arecaceae.
AAACAUUGAGUAUAUGUAAAAUGAAUUGCUCAAUAAACAAUGAAAUAAAAUCCAUAAAUGAAUUCAAAUGUCUGGUAAUUCAAUUUAUCCAAGCUUGAAAGGAGUGAAACAAUAAAUUUCGGAGUUAAAGCUCCCCAUUUCAUUUGGAAUUAUAUAAGCCUUCAUAUUAUGCAAUCAAUUGUUUGGCUUAUAUGUCAUUAAUGAUUUAGCUUGAUUAAAAUUCAGAUUCUCCCCCUCAACAUAUGCAUUCUACU